UGGGGAAUUUUGGACAAUGGGCGCAAGCCUGAUCCAGCCAUACCGCGUGAGUGAAGAAGGCCUUCGGGUUGUAAAGCUCUUUCAGACGGAAAGAAACGGUUACGGCUAAUACCCGUGACUAAUGACGGUACCGUAAGAAGAAGCACCGGCUAACUACGUGCCAGCAGCCGCGGUAAUACGUAGGGUGCGAGCGUUAAUCGGAAUUACUGGGCGUAAAGCGUGCGCAGGCGGUUUGGUAAGACAGAUGUGAAAUCCCCGGGCUUAACCUGGGAACUGCAUUCGAGACUGCAUUGCUGGAGUACGGAAGAGGAGGGCGGAAUUCCCGGUGUAGCGGUGAAAUGCGUAGAUAUCGGGAGGAACAUCAGUGGCGAAGGCGGCCCUCUGGUCCAGUACUGACACUCAAGUGCGAAAGCGUGGGGAGCAAACAGGAUUAGAUACC
This 439-nucleotide ribosomal RNA is filed under the name uncultured bacterium. RNAcentral describes it as "bacterial SSU rRNA". It matches the Rfam family "Bacterial small subunit ribosomal RNA", at positions 355 to 786 of the family's 1533-position model. The record is from RNAcentral.